AACCUGCAGUAUACCGCG
Molecule: small nuclear RNA, 18 nt
Filed under: Arabidopsis thaliana (thale cress)
Lineage: Eukaryota; Viridiplantae; Streptophyta; Magnoliopsida; Brassicales; Brassicaceae
Description: snRNA_00899
Source: RNAcentral